GACAUUUACUGUUAGUUAAAUGUUAAGACAUAACAUAAAAAUAUCAUUUGUGUUUACCUGAACAAUUUACAUGUCACUAAGUAAUACAAGUUACUGUCAAUGACUUGUACUUUACUUACAAACUAAUAUCGCGCAUGCAAAGGAUUCGGUUAUUAUAAAAUGUUUGUUUUGGGUUUUUUAAAGACCAACGUUUUUGUUGUUGGUUUUUUAACUGCAGGACAUAACGAACUUAGGACUGAAAAUGUAUGCCAUUGUGUUUUUUAUAAUUUCGAAUAAGACCUUGUACAGGUAUUUUACAAUUUCGUCCAUAGCAGGACUCCAAAAGAAAUGUAUCAACUGGUACACCUGUAAUUAUGUAUCAUGCAGACAGUACGAAAUCACGACGUGCCUUCAUU
This 395-nucleotide long non-coding RNA is filed under the name Mytilus galloprovincialis (Mediterranean mussel). Lineage: Eukaryota; Metazoa; Mollusca; Bivalvia; Mytilida; Mytilidae. The record is from RNAcentral.